Long non-coding RNA from Xyrauchen texanus (razorback sucker), 759 nucleotides. RefSeq lists it as uncharacterized. The transcript is spliced from 3 exons. The record is from RefSeq and is a predicted model, not a curated record. NCBI's taxonomy places the organism in Eukaryota, Metazoa, Chordata, Actinopteri, Cypriniformes, Catostomidae.
CUAUUCCUCACGCCGCACGGCCGCAGCACGCGCAUUUUUUAAUUACCGGAAGAUAUCUUCAACACCGCGACCGCGGCAGCUGCAAAGACCACUAUUCAGAGAUGCUUUAAAGGAGGAGAUAAUUCCAAAUGGGAAAUAUUGCAUGCCUUCCAUUGCCUGACAGUCCCAGAGAACUGGAAAACAGCUAGCAUUCCAACAGCUGCACUCCAAGCUGUGAAGAAACUGUGCCAGUUCUACAAUAUUGAAGAUGAAGACAAAUUGCAGACAGAAUUGAAGGUCUUCCAUACGUCAUACUCAUGCCCACCACCAGCCAAUGUGUCCUCUAUUCUGUCAGUGGUCAAGGAAACCAAUGCACAUCUAGUUUUCCCCAACAUGACUCUGCUGCUGAAGACAUAUGGCACACUUCCGGUGUCCACAGCAACUGUGGAACGUUCCUUCUCAAAACUGAAGCUUGUGAAAACCAAACUUCGCAGCCUUUGCAAAGAGGAGAGAUUGUCUGACCUUCUUCUGUUGGCCAUUGAGAAGGACAUUCCAAUAAAUGACAAUAAUGUCAUUAACAUUUUUAGGGACAUGGCCAACAGGAAAUUUCUGUUAUAAAAGUCUACAACAACUCAUCAACACUUAUUGCUCUUGGUGUGCAGCAGCCUCUGUGAGCAUCUCCCUCUUAUUUUCUUGGAGCAGUCAGCCUUGGCUGGUCAGUGAGCCAGUUCCAAACACUCUCAGCAAUCUUUACAUCUUGUCAUAUCUGUCAAACAUAUU